AUAACAAUACAGGACUCUUUCGAGGCCCUGUAAUUGGCCCCGUAACGAGGAUCUAUUGGAGGGAAUGUCUGGGGCCAGCAGAUGUGGUAAUUCCAGCUCCAA
This is a non-coding RNA of Pelobates cultripes (western spadefoot toad), 102 nucleotides long. The record is from the annotation of a GenBank genome assembly. Lineage: Eukaryota; Metazoa; Chordata; Amphibia; Anura; Pelobatidae.